This 246-nucleotide long non-coding RNA is filed under the name Nicotiana benthamiana. RNAcentral's name for it is "long non-coding RNA (NBEN_LNC025428)". Lineage: Eukaryota; Viridiplantae; Streptophyta; Magnoliopsida; Solanales; Solanaceae. The record is from RNAcentral.
AUCUUGUAACUCGUAGUUUAUAGGCUUACCUAGCUUAGCUUAGCAGAAACAGCAGCAACAACAGUGAAAUCACAGCUUUCCGGUAGUCCCAGCUACCAAAACAUCCAGAACUACACUGACCUGAUUCCUUUAAAGCCAAGGAUAUAUAUGCAACCUUUGAAGCAAGGUUCGGUCAGAAAUUUUUCAAAAUGCUUCACACGGAGUACUCAGUCGGACAAAAAUCGCUCAUGCUUGCUCACUUGUCUU